AAAAAUUGUAUGGCCACACCCAUGGCAUAUGGAAGUUCCCAGGCCAGUGAUGGAAUCCGAGCCACAGCUACCACAACAACAGAUCCUUUAACCCACUGCACCAGGCAGGGGAUUGAACCCGGGGCCUCCACUGUGACCCCAGCUGCUGCAGUUGGAUUCUUAACCCACUGCACCACAUUGGGAAUGCUAAAGGCUUUCAUUUUCAUAGUCCUCUGUUUAGUACACAAUCUUUCCCCAUCACCAUAAAACCCAAUUUAGAGGAAUAUAAUGACAGUAAGAAUCUACCAAAAGGAAACUGAAGAAAAUGUAGUAUUCAAUAAUUCAAUUUUUAUUGAACACCAUAUAGAUAUAAGGGAAUAUGGUAGCUAAUAACACAAGGUCCUGGCUCCCUCCCGUGGAGCUUCCACUUGGUGUGGGAGAAACAGGACAAGCUGCCCAAAGAGGUCCAUCUCUGCAUACAUGGAGGAAAACACCCAAGAUCUGAUUCUUGCCUGACAUUGGAGUUUCCGUCGUGGCUCAGCGGAAACUAAUCUGACUAGCAUCCAUGAGGACGCAGGGUCAAUCCCUGGCCUCACUCAGUGGGUUAAGGAUCUGGUAUUGCCAUGAGCUGUGGUGUAGGUCACAGACCCGGCUCCCAUCUCACAUUGCUGUGUCUGUGGCGUAGGCCAGCAGCUACAGCUCCGAUUGAACCCCUCUCCUGGGAACCUCCAUAUGCCGAGGGUGCAACCCUUUAAAAAAAAUAAAAAGAAAGAAAGAAAUACAGGACGUUGACUGAGGUUCUCACGGGUUCCCCUCACCCUUGGGUCUUCCCAAGGAGAUCUCUCCUGGGUAACAGGGAAGUUAAAUGCAGGCCUAUCUCACUUGACAGCUGUCCCAGCCACACGUGGAUGGCAAACUUAAAAGAAUCUACAAGUCAAAUACUGCUUACUUGUAUUUAUUUAUUUUUACUGAAGUCUAGUUGAUUUCCAAUGUUAUAUUAGUUUCAGGUGUACAACAUUGUGAUUCAGUAGUUUUACAGAUUAUACGCUAUUAUAGGUUAUUACAAGAUAAUGGCUAUAAUUCCCUGUGCUAUACAGUAUGUCCUUGCUUGCUUACUUAUUUUAUACAGAGUAGUUUGUAUCUGUUGAUCUCAUACCCCUAAUUUGCCCCUCCCCUUUUCCCUCUCCCCUUCGAUAACCACAAGUUUGUUUUCAGUAACUGUAGUUCUGUUUCUGCUUUGCGUCUACACUCAUAUGUAUUAUUUUUUCAGAUUCCACAUAUAAGUGAUGUAUAGCAUUUGCCUUUCUUGGUCUGACAUUUCACUAAGCAUAAUAUUCUCUAGGUGCCAUCCACAUAGCUGAAAAUGGCUCUUGCUUUCAUUCUUAGACAAGAAUCAUUUAAACUCAGUGAUCCUUUUCCUGAAGUCAAUGCAGAUACAAAGAGGUAAAUUGGAAAAAAAAAUCAUAGUUGCAAUCACGUGGGUAAGAAGUGACAGAACAUAGUGGAUCUGCCUCACUUUAAUAUUCUAGAAAACCUCCCGUAAUAAGUGGAAGACAAAAGGCAAUUAUGCACAUGCCCCAUAUUUCAGAGAUGAGUUUAAAUUAUGUACAGUAGGCUCUGGAAUAUAUAUUAGGAAGAUUUCUAUUCAAAAGAAUUAAGGAGUUCCCACUGUGGUGCAGUGGGUUAAGAAUCGGGCGUUAUCUCCCCUGGUGGUGCAGGACUGAUUCCCAGCCCAGGAACUUCCAUAUCCCAUGAGUGUGGCUAAAAAAGGAAAAGAAAAAAAAAAAAAAAAAAAAAAAAAAAAGAAUUAAGAUUGGAAAUGUUUGGGGCUUAAAAAAAUAAAUUUCUCUUUUCUGAAAAAGUAACCCAUAUUCCUUUAUGCACAAUUUACCCAGUGAAGAUGGACAAAUUUUUGUGAUCUAUUUCUUUCCAAGUAGUUGCAAGCUCACAUGGGAUCAAACAAGUAACAAAUUGUAAAGUAGCCACAUGGAUUCAAACUGGAAACCCAGUAGCGAUCCAAACUCAGACUGUUUGAAAGUUGUGACCACUGUCUUCAUCAAUGACUAGCAAAAAGAAAUGCACCCCUUCAACUUAAAAGUAAGGUCACCCUCUGAAAGCAACCCUACUAAAUAUCAAUACAUAAUGGAUGAGACGAACCAUUGGCAGAAAUCGCCUAUCCUGAAACUGGUCUGCACUCAAUAUAUGGCUGAGAAGAUUCACUAUCUUCAGUGUUGGUCGAGUUAUCUAGAGUGAGUCUCAAGGAGACAGGGCUGAUGGAAAUUCGGAAAAUAGGGAGUGUAAUUGCUGGGUUGCCUUUCCAACAGUCAUUCCUUUUUCCUUCUGCAACACUGUCAGAACCUACCUUCCAUUAUAGGCUGUGAAAACACCUUUCCAAAUCUCUCUCACAGCUGAAAAAGUUGAUGCUAUUCUAGCCAGGGAGACAUGAGAGGAAACCUGCUGAGAGUCUUCUGAGAAAAGUUUUUUCUGUGAUUAAUAAUAAAAAUAAUAAUCACCAGAAGAAAGCUUAUCUCUUCCCUGGGCCCAGAGACUAAAGAGCAAACUGGAAAGUCUUCAAAGCGAGCGUGCAAAAGUCAGUGUAAUUUGAACUUCAGAAGAGUUGAUAUUACAAAUCUAUGUUUACUGUUGGAGAAUGCUUUACAGAUCAAAGGGUUGUGUCUAUCUCUUCAGACACUCUCCAAAUCAAACUGUAUUAAAUUAGAAACCAUGUUCGGAGUUCCUGUUGCGGCUCAGCAGUAAUGAACCCGACUAGUACCCACAAGGAUGCUGGUUCAAUCCCUGGCCUCGCUCAGUGGGUUCAGGAUCCAGUGUUGCCGUGAGCUGUAGGUCACAGAGGCAGCUGGAUCUGGCAUUGCUGUGGCUGUGGUACAGGCGUGCAGCUGUCAUUCGGAUUUGACCCCAAGCCUGGGAACAUCCAUGUGCUAUCAAUGUGGCCCUAAAAAGACCAAAAAAAAAAAGAAAAAGAAAAAAAAAAAGAGAGAAAGAAACCAUGUUUGGCAAAAAAUUAAAAUUCCUAAAAAAAAGUGUCAUGUUCAGAAAAGAGUUGACAGUGACUAGUUUGCUUUGGGACAUCAAAGUUCCCCCAGAAAGGCCUAGAACAUUCUUUACAGAGAUGCUCCAGCAUGAUUAGAUAUCCUGUUUACAGCAAAUAUUAUGAUAGAUUUUGCAACUGCUGUUGGUGAUCUCUGUCAAAGAAAGUAUGGGGUCAAAAUAAAAUAUUUAACUUUUUAACCUCUUCUUCAGCUUUCUCCACCAAGAGACCAUUCCUAUCGUAUUAGUCACUUCUUGUAUCCCCCUUCAAAUCCUCUCAGCCUUACCUUUCUCUUUGGCCUUUGGCCUCUUGUUCCCGCUCAGCCAAUAUCAUGGCAGCCAACUUUGUAUAAAUUCAACCAACUGCACUUGGGCAAAACAAUAGCACCCCACUUCACCUAUCUCUCACUUCCUGACCUGUGGCUUUCCUGUUGAUGCUGAGGUGUGAUACAUUCACUGCCUGCACAUAUAUACACAAUUAGGAAGUACAGGGAGAUUAAGAACCAGUGGGGAAAACCUUCACCCAAAGGGAGACAGGAGGCAACAAGUAACUCCUCCUUUCUCAUCCUGGAAUCAGUCACUCUUAAUAAACACUCUCACAUUGCAUUUCCCUCCUUCCCUGCCUCACUCCCCUUCCCCCUUCUUGCUGUUCUCUGGAAAUUGCCCUUCCUGAUAAAGUAGUAGCACAGAAGCCUCAGGCUCUGCUUUCUAAGCAACACUGCAUUUGUUUUUCAUCGCUGUGUAACAAAUUGCCACAAAUGCAGCAGCUUAAAAACAACGUCAGGUUACAGUUCUGCAGGUCUGAAGUUUUCUGUGGUGUGGCUGGGUUUAUUACUCAGGUUCUCGCAAGAUUGAAAUCAAGGUGUAGCCCAAGCUGUGUUCUCAUCAGGAGCUUGGAGUCUUCUUCCAGGCUUACCUGAUUGCAGAAGAAUUUGUUCCUCACAGGUGCAGGACUGAGGUUCCCAUUUCUUUGCUGGCUGUGGCGGGGGGGGGGGGGAGGGGGGGGACUAUUCUCAGCAACUAGAGAGUACCUUCAUUCUUGUGCUUCGCAUCUCUCCAACCUCUGUUUCUGAUCUCUAAACCCAGAUUUAAAUGGCUCAUGUGAUCAGGUCAGGCCUCCAUGGACAAUGCUCUUAUCUUAAGGUCAGCUGAUUUGGAAGCUACAUCUGCAAAAUCCCUUUGGCCAUAUAAUGUACCAUAUUUACAGAUUCCAUUCCCCACCCCAAAAUGGAUGUGAUUUUACAAAGACUAGGGUCACUGGGGAUCAUCUUAUAAUUCUGCCCAUCACAGAGACAGCUGGUACCAAAAAUGGCCCUAGAAAAAGCAGACCCUUAGGAUGACAUUGUGGUGAUGGAGUACUCGAUAAUCUGAAAGCAAUAGGGUUCAAAUUACCAGUGGUAAAUGGAGUAGAAAUUCCUGGCAUGCAAUGGCAUCACAUGUGCUAAGGCUUUCCCCUGAAUUUAAUUGGUAUUACAUGGAGAUGGAAGGUGAGGCAAAGGAUAUGCAACAGCCAUGGUGCUUGAAAAGCACGGGAGCAAAUGUGACUAGACAAACUGUAGAUAGGCCUCGAUAGCAGAAUUGGAAGCUUUGAAAAAAUAAAAUGAUAGACUCACACUGACCCACUGCCAAUUCAAAGCCUGCUUUGAAAGCCAGAGGGCCUCUGAGGUAACUCUGAAGAAUAUUCUCAUCUCCUGUCACCAAAACGCAGAGCUGCUAGGGAGACAAGUCCAGUGUCUCAUUCUUAGUGGUAGAAGGAUGAGGCAAGACCUCUGGUUUUUUAUCUUAUGGGGAAAUCCUGGCACUCUCUAGAUCACUGGAUCCCUAAAAACUUCACAGUAGUUCUCUCUCUUUCUCUGGUAUGGAGAUUCUACUAGAGUAUACAUGGUACUUUCUACUUCCUGCUCACCAGAUCCAUUUAGCAGGAUGCUUUGUGACAAUCUGAUGAUUGCCCUGUGGUAGAAAGUGGGAGCAUUUACUCAGUACCAGGGCAGGAGCAUUGAAUGUUCACUGCUGUCCUUCUCACAUGUGGGUGAACUACCUUUGAUCCCCCCUUUUUAGGGGCGAUGAGGAAAUAUGAAUUCAACAGCUACUUAUCAAGUGUAAGAGGCUGUGUUGACCUGAACUGAUAAAGAUACUACGUGAAGGCCAGUACGUACAAUUGAGAGUAAUACCUGGUUAAGUCUUUGAGAGUCCAUCCAGAUUUUGCAGCAAAAUGAAAGGGAAAAUGACAGUAACCACAACACCUAUGUCUCUUAAGUCUUUCAGGUUAAUGCCAAUCUCUGCAAUCCCUCCUGGCAUGCAGUAUGCUGCUGACUUAUUAUCUUGAUGAGGGGGCAGAAUAGUGGGGAGGAGAAGUUUCAGAAGCUUUCACUUGACCUUUCCUACUCUAAUGGCCCUUACCCUACUGGUUAGGGAAACAGUGUAAGGAUUUUUGCAAUGCUAGGUACAUCUACCCUCAGGGACUGAGCAAUAACAAGAAGACAGGUUACAGAUCCAUUAGAUCCACUGUGAGAUAGACUUGGUACAGAGCUCCACUUGACACAUGACCUCCAAAAGCACCCACUCUAUCCAGAGAUCUCUGACAGUGUUUGGUUUCCCUGGAUCAUUGUUAACCUGGAACUUAUAUCUAACAGUCUUUGAAUCUGAGUAUGCCACUUUUUCCCAGUAUAGAACUACCCAGGAAAAUGUCUACAAGGCCCUCCAGGGAAGGCAAAGAGAGGGGAAAAUAUUUACCUAUACCUUGUGUACCUUGUGUAGAUCCUUUCUUAAAAGGACCUGGCCUCUCUUUCAAAGAAAAGAAUAUGGAUCUGUGAAUUGACUUAUAUCUGGAAACUGGGUGCCAUAUUUUUCUUUUGCAGUGACUAAAAUAAGCCUUCUACAUAACAGUUCUCAUUCCUUUUUUUUCUUUUCUUUCUUUCUUUUCUUUCUUUCUUUUUUUUAAUGGCCUCACUUGCAUCACAUGGAAGUUCCCAGGCUAGGGGUCAAAUCAGAUCUGCAGCAGCAAGGCUCUGCCACGGCCAUAGCAAUGCCAGAUCUGAGCCACAUCUGUGACCUAUGUCAUAGCUUGCAGCAAUGCCAGACCCUUAACCCACUAUGCGAGGCCAGGGAUCAAACCCACAUCCUCAUAGAGACUAUGUCAGGUUCUUAACCCACUAAGCCACAACAGGAACUCAACUCUUUUUUUAUAUUGGCAAGAUGAGUACUAUCUUAUCUCUAAGAACAUCAAGUUCUAUUAAGCCCUCACCAGAGAUACCUGCAGGUCAGAGCACCCUAACUGCCACUCUGGUCUUGCUUGGGUCCUUGAUGGCUAAAUGCCCUUUUUCCUUGGACAGCCAAGUGUCAUCAUCUGACCUCCACAAUUCUGGAAUGCCAU
This 6400-nucleotide long non-coding RNA is filed under the name Sus scrofa (pig). RNAcentral's name for it is "lncRNA (ENSSSCG00005025941.1)". The record is from RNAcentral. Lineage: Eukaryota; Metazoa; Chordata; Mammalia; Artiodactyla; Suidae.